GGAUGCGAUCAUACCAUCACUAAAGCACCGGAUCCCAUCAGAACUCCGAAGUUAAGCGUGCUUGGGCGAGAGUAGUACUAGGAUGGGUGACCUCCUGGGAAGUCCUCGUGUUGCGUUCC
This 119-nucleotide ribosomal RNA is filed under the name Triticum aestivum (bread wheat). The record is from RNAcentral. Lineage: Eukaryota; Viridiplantae; Streptophyta; Magnoliopsida; Poales; Poaceae.